This 376-nucleotide ribosomal RNA is filed under the name uncultured bacterium. RNAcentral describes it as "bacterial SSU rRNA". It matches the Rfam family "Bacterial small subunit ribosomal RNA", at positions 524 to 898 of the family's 1533-position model. The record is from RNAcentral.
CACGAACUGUGCGAACGUUAUUCGGAAUCACUGGGCUUAAAGAGUUCGUAGGCGGCACGUUAAGUCGGGUGUGAAAUCCCUCGGCUCAACCGAGGAAUUGCGUCCGAAACUGGCGUGCUUGAGUAAGAUAGAGGUGAGCGGAACUGAUGGUGGAGCGGUGAAAUGCGUUGAUAUCAUCAGGAACACCGGUGGCGAAAGCGGCUCACUGGGUCUUAACUGACGCUGAGGAACGAAAGCUAGGGGAGCGAACGGGAUUAGAUACCCCGGUAGUCCUAGCCGUAAACGAUGAGCACUAGGUUGAGGGGACCUCCACAUCCCCCCGGCCGUAGCGAAAGUGUUAAGUGCUCCGCCUGGGGAGUAUGGUCGCAAGGCUGAA